This 358-nucleotide unclassified non-coding RNA is filed under the name soil metagenome. RNAcentral's name for it is "partial contains 5.8S ribosomal RNA, internal transcribed spacer 2, and large subunit ribosomal RNA". The stretch from base 1 to 120 matches the Rfam family "5.8S ribosomal RNA", at positions 35 to 154 of the family's 154-position model. The record is from RNAcentral.
GAUGAAGAACGCAGCGAAAUGCGAUAAGUAAUGUGAAUUGCAGAAUUCAGUGAAUCAUCGAAUCUUUGAACGCACAUUGCGCCCGUCAGUAUUCUGGCGGGCAUGCCUGUUCGAGCGUCAUUACGCCCCUCAAGUCCCCUGUGGACUUGGUGUUGGGGAUCGGCGAGGCUGGUUUUCCAGCACAGCCGUCCCUUAAAUUAAUUGGCGGUCUCGCUGUGGCCCUCCUCUGCGCAGUAGUAAAACACUCGCAACAGGAGCCCGGCGCGGUCCACUGCCGUAAAACCCCCCAACUUUUUAUAGUUGACCUCGAAUCAGGUAGGACUACCCGCUGAACUUAAGCAUAUCAAUAAGCGGAGGA